Molecule: unclassified non-coding RNA, 242 nt
Filed under: uncultured fungus
Lineage: Eukaryota; Fungi
Description: sequence contains 18S rRNA gene, ITS1, 5.8S rRNA gene, ITS2
Source: RNAcentral
ACUCAGACAUCACUGAUAAAAGAGUUGGGGUCCUCUGGCGGGCGCGGUCAGCCGGGGCCGACGCCUUGCGGACGGCCCGCCAAAGCAACAAAGGUAAAUAGACACAGGGUGUAUGAUAUCUCCCUUCGCGAUCCGCCGUCAGCUCUCGCCGCCGACAGAGCGUUCCGGUUACAUUAAUGAUCCUUCCGCAGGUUCACCUACGGAAACCUUGUUACGACUUUUACUUCCUCUAAUGACCAAGA